This 876-nucleotide ribosomal RNA is filed under the name Helvella sp. Its description in RNAcentral is "partial large subunit ribosomal RNA". It matches the Rfam family "Eukaryotic large subunit ribosomal RNA", at positions 76 to 964 of the family's 3401-position model. The record is from RNAcentral. Lineage: Eukaryota; Fungi; Ascomycota; Pezizomycetes; Pezizales; Helvellaceae.
UGCCCCAGUAACGGCGAGUGAAGCGGCAGGAGCUCAAAUUUGAAAUCUGGGGCCCCCGGCCUCCGAGUUGUAAUUUGGAGAGGCUCCUUCGGGGGGGAGCGCUGGCCCAUGUUCCUUGGAACAGGACGUCGCAGAGGGUGAGAAUCCCGUGCCAGGCCGGCUGCCUCCUCCCGCGUGAAGGGCCUUCGACGAGUCGAGUUGUUUGGGAAUGCAGCUCCAAGUGGGUGGUAAAUUUCAUCUAAAGCUAAAUACCGGCGGGAGACCGAUAGCGCACAAGUAGAGUGAUCGAAAGAUGAAAAGCACUUUGAAAAUAGAGUCAAAAAGUACGUGAAAUUGUUGAAAGGGAAGCGCUUGAGACCAGACUCAGACCCAGGCAAACACCGCGCCCCCAGGGGCCGUGCAAUUGCCCGGUGCUGGGCCAGCAUCAGUUGGCGUGGCGGGACAAGGGCGCGGGAAAUGUGGCUCCCCUCGGGGAGUGUUAUCAGGCCCGCGCCGGAUGCCGCCGACGUCGACUGAGGACCGCGCCUCGGCUAGGAUGCUGGCUUAAUGGCCUUCAGCGACCCGUCUUGAAACACGGACCAAGGAGUCUAACAUCUAUGCGAGUGUUUGGGCGCCAAACCCUUGCGCGGAAUGAAAGUGAGCGGAGGUGGGAACCCCUAGCCGGGCGCACCAUCGACCGAUCCUGAUGUCUUCGGAUGGAUUUGAGUAGGAGCAUAGCUGUUGGGACCCGAAAGAUGGUGAACUAUGCCUGAAUAGGGUGAAGCCAGAGGAAACUCUGGUGGAGGCUCGCAGCGGUUCUGACGUGCAAAUCGAUCGUCAAAUUUGGGUAUAGGGGCGAAAGACUAAUCGAACCAUCUAGUAGCUGGUUCCUGCCGA